Long non-coding RNA from Zalophus californianus (California sea lion), 1221 nucleotides. RefSeq lists it as uncharacterized. Lineage: Eukaryota; Metazoa; Chordata; Mammalia; Carnivora; Otariidae. The record is from RefSeq and is a predicted model, not a curated record. The transcript is spliced from 3 exons.
AACUCUGGGAAUUCUGAGGGGAAAAUUACAUGAGUUGGAGAAGUUGAGCCGCUACGUCGACCGUACCUGCAACAGCCUACCUCUGGAUUUCCUGUGUGCGAGGACUCUCAUCAACAGAUGUACAUGGCACACUAAAAUCAUCCAAUACUAGUCCUGGGGUUGAAGCUCUAAACUCAGGAAGUAAAACGGGUCGUUCCUAAUCACAGUACAAAGCAGAUGACGCAAGCUGAGAUAAAACACAAAGAGAUUAAGUUCGAGAGAGCUAAAGCACCACAUAAACAGAGAUCAAAAAAACAAAAAACAGUCCCUGGAAUAGCAACUCCGUAGGAAGCCAGAGUGUGGAAGGUAUAAAAGGGAAAGAACAGUCUCCUUCCAGAUAUUGGAAUAAAGACUCUGUAUUUAAGAAGACACCGAGCAAGAACAUUAGCAGUCGCCUCCUAAAGUGGGGUCUUGCCUGCAGUCAAGAACCUACUCCCAUCUUCUCUCAACUCUGCAUUCAGGGACAUCACAUGAACCGCCCACUUGAGAAAUCAGCCACGAUGAGAGUAUUUACACCACGGAAACUGGCAAACACUAUAAAUCAGAGCCUCCCCAGGCCCCCCCAAACCUGUUUACCAACAUAUCACUGAACAAACUGAGAGCAAAUACUUAAAUAUAUAAACCCUACUUCAACACCGUCAAGUGGGGGGCACAGAGUGGGCAACGAAGGAACAGAACUUAGCACAAGAAGAAGAGAAAUUGAAACUACAACAGUGGCAGUUCCUUUAGCCAUAUUUGCUGGCCAGCCUUUUCCCCUUCCUGAACAUUCUACAUAUAGAAAAGUACUUAUACCUGAAGGAACUUCCUGUGUUUCCGAUGGGUGCAUAGCUUCUUCUUCUAAAGAGCAUUUGGUAUUUGGUCAUAUUCCUGUUUAUUGUUCAUUAAUUGCUUUUCAUACAUCUGACUGCGAUCUUUAACUCAGUGAGAGUUACCCUAGAGGACAGGUAGGCUGUUUCUCCCACUUAGAAUGAUAGCAUGUCACAAGUAAAUAUUUCUGGAUCUCCCUAUCUGACUUCCAAGCACCCUUCACAGCGCCAAUCAGAUGGGAUGCACUCAGUACACUCCUGUCCACCCAGCAGGUCAAAAUUUUUCCUUUAUAAAUACAGAGGGUCAUGGGAGAAAACAGAGGACAGAUAUCUACGAAUUUAAACCAAUUAUUUCUCUCAAAGAGAGCCCCCCUUC